UUUGGUUAAGUUAGAAAGGGCGCACGGUGGAUGCCUUGACACUAGGAGUCGAUGAAGGACGGGACUAACGCCGAUAUGCUUCGGGGAGCUGUAAGUAAGCUUUGAUCCGAAGAUUUCCGAAUGGGGAAACCCACCAUACGUAAUGGUAUGGUAUCCUUAUCUGAAUACAUAGGGUAAGGAAGACAGACCCAGGGAACUGAAACAUCUAAGUACCUGGAGGAAGAGAAAGCAAAUGCGAUUUCCUGAGUAGCGGCGAGCGAAACGGAACAUAGCCCAAACCAAGAGGCUUGCCUCUUGGGGUUGUAGGACAUUCUAUACGGAGUUACAAAGGAACGAGGUAGACGAAGCGACCUGGAAAGGUCCGUCGUAGAGGGUAACAACCCCGUAGUCGAAACUUCGUUCUCUCUUGAAUGUAUCCUGAGUACGGCGGAACACGUGAAAUUCCGUCGGAAUCUGGGAGGACCAUCUCCCAAGGCUAAAUACUCCCUAGUGAUCGAUAGUGAACCAGUACCGUGAGGGAAAGGUGAAAAGCACCCCGGAAGGGGAGUGAAAGAGAUCCUGAAACCGUGUGCCUACAAAUAGUCAGAGCCCGUUAAUGGGUGAUGGCGUGCCUUUUGUAGAAUGAACCGGCGAGUUACGAUCCCGUGCGAGGUUAAGCUGAAGAGGCGGAGCCGCAGCGAAAGCGAGUCUGAAUAGGGCGUUUAGUACGUGGUCGUAGACCCGAAACCAGGUGAUCUACCCAUGUCCAGGGUGAAGUUCAGGUAACACUGAAUGGAGGCCCGAACCCACGCACGUUGAAAAGUGCGGGGAUGAGGUGUGGGUAGCGGAGAAAUUCCAAUCGAACCUGGAGAUAGCUGGUUCUCCCGAAAUAGCUUUAGGGCUAGCCUUAAGUGUAAGAGUCUUGGAGGUAGAGCACUGAUUGGACUAGGGGUCCUCAUCGGAUUACCGAAUUCAGUCAAACUCCGAAUGCCAAUGACUUAUCCUUAGGAGUCAGACUGCGAGUGAUAAGAUCCGUAGUCAAAAGGGAAACAGCCCAGACCGCCAGCUAAGGUCCCAAAGUGUGUAUUAAGUGGAAAAGGAUGUGGAGUUGCUUAGACAACUAGGAUGUUGGCUUAGAAGCAGCCACCAUUUAAAGAGUGCGUAAUAGCUCACUAGUCGAGUGACUCUGCGCCGAAAAUGUACCGGGGCUAAAUACACCACCGAAGCUGCGGAUUGAUACCAAUGGUAUCAGUGGUAGGGGAGCGUUCUAAGGACAGUGAAGUCAGACCGUAAGGACUGGUGGAGUGCUUAGAAGUGAGAAUGCCGGUAUGAGUAGCGAAAGACGGGUGAGAAUCCCGUCCACCGAAUGCCUAAGGUUUCCUGAGGAAGGCUCGUCCGCUCAGGGUUAGUCAGGACCUAAGCCGAGGCCGACAGGCGUAGGCGAUGGACAACAGGUUGAUAUUCCUGUACCACCUCUUUAUCGUUUGAGCAAUGGAGGGACGCAGAAGGAUAGAAGAAGCGUGCGAUUGGUUGUGCACGUCCAAGCAGUUAGGCUGAUAAGUAGGCAAAUCCGCUUAUCGUGAAGGCUGAGCUGUGAUGGGGAAGCUCCUUAUGGAGCGAAGUCUUUGAUUCCCCGCUGCCAAGAAAAGCUUCUAGCGAGAUAAAAGGUGCCUGUACCGCAAACCGACACAGGUAGGCGAGGAGAGAAUCCUAAGGUGUGCGAGAGAACUCUGGUUAAGGAACUCGGCAAAAUGACCCCGUAACUUCGGGAGAAGGGGUGCUUUCUUAACGGAAAGCCGCAGUGAAUAGGCCCAAGCGACUGUUUAGCAAAAACACAGCUCUCUGCGAAGCCGUAAGGCGAAGUAUAGGGGGUGACACCUGCCCGGUGCUGGAAGGUUAAGGAGAGGGGUUAGCGUAAGCGAAGCUCUGAACUGAAGCCCCAGUAAACGGCGGCCGUAACUAUAACGGUCCUAAGGUAGCGAAAUUCCUUGUCGGGUAAGUUCCGACCCGCACGAAAGGUGUAACGAUUUGGGCACUGUCUCAACCAGAGACUCGGUGAAAUUAUAGUACCUGUGAAGAUGCAGGUUACCCGCGACAGGACGGAAAGACCCCGUGGAGCUUUACUGUAGCCUGAUAUUGAAUUUUGGUACAUUUUGUACAGGAUAGGCGGGAGCCUUUGAAACCGGAGCGCUAGCUUCGGUGGAGGCGCUGGUGGGAUACCGCCCUGAAUGUAUUGAAAUUCUAACCUACGGGUCUUAUCGACCCGGGAGACAGUGUCAGGUGGGCAGUUUGACUGGGGCGGUCGCCUCCUAAAGUGUAACGGAGGCGCCCAAAGGUUCCCUCAGAAUGGUUGGAAAUCAUUCGUAGAGUGCAAAGGCAUAAGGGAGCUUGACUGCGAGACCUACAAGUCGAGCAGGGACGAAAGUCGGGCUUAGUGAUCCGGUGGUUCCGCAUGGAAGGGCCAUCGCUCAACGGAUAAAAGCUACCCCGGGGAUAACAGGCUUAUCUCCCCAAGAGUCCACAUCGACGGGGAGGUUUGGCACCUCGAUGUCGGCUCAUCGCAUCCUGGGGCUGUAGUCGGUCCCAAGGGUUGGGCUGUUCGCCCAUUAAAGCGGUACGCGAGCUGGGUUCAGAACGUCGUGAGACAGUUCGGUCCCUAUCCGUCGUGGGCGUAGGAAAUUUGAGAGGAGCUGUCCUUAGUACGAGAGGACCGGGAUGGACGCACCGCUGGUGUACCAGUUGUUCUGCCAAGGGCAUAGCUGGGUAGCUAUGUGCGGAAGGGAUAAGUGCUGAAAGCAUCUAAGCAUGAAGCCCCCUCAAGAUGAGAUUUCCCAUAGCGUAAGCUAGUAAGAUCCCUGAAAGAUGAUCAGGUUGAUAGGUUCGAGGUGGAAGCAUGGUGACAUGUGGAGCUGACGAAUACUAAUAGAUCGAGGACUUAACCAUAUAAUAUGUA
RNAcentral lists this ribosomal RNA (2932 nucleotides) under Bacillus albus. RNAcentral's name for it is "23S ribosomal RNA". It matches the Rfam family "Bacterial large subunit ribosomal RNA". The record is from RNAcentral. Lineage: Bacteria; Bacillati; Bacillota; Bacilli; Caryophanales; Bacillaceae.